ACGGAGGGUGCAAGCGUUAAUCGGAAUUACUGGGCGUAAAGCGCAUGCAGGCGGUUUGUUAAGCGAGAUGUGAAAGCCCCGGGCUCAACCUGGGAACUGCAUUUCGAACUGGCAAACUAGAGUUCUUGAGAGGGUGGUAGAAUUUCAGGUGUAGCGGUGAAAUGCGUAGAGAUCUGAAGGAAUACCAGUGGCGAAGGCGGCCACCUGGCAAGUAACUGACGCUCAGAUGCGAAAGCGUGGGUAGCAAACGGG
RNAcentral lists this ribosomal RNA (252 nucleotides) under uncultured bacterium. Its description in RNAcentral is "partial 16S ribosomal RNA". It matches the Rfam family "Bacterial small subunit ribosomal RNA", at positions 525 to 776 of the family's 1533-position model. The record is from RNAcentral.